UGUUAAAAACUUAAUUCAUUUUUACUGUUAAAAACUGACGCAGCUAACAGAAUAAUCAAAUAAUUACAUGUGUUGUGCUACGUGUACUUCAUUAUAACGUAUAGGAGUUAGUUUUAACAAUAAAAAUGAACGUAAUUUUUAAUA
Gossypium hirsutum (cotton) is the source of this 144-nucleotide non-coding RNA. NCBI's taxonomy places the organism in Eukaryota, Viridiplantae, Streptophyta, Magnoliopsida, Malvales, Malvaceae. The record is from Rfam.